GGCUAUAACCGUUUGAAAAUAAGCAUAUAACUAAUAAAUCCUCUUCUCAUUUCAUUCAAUUUCAAAUCCGUCAAUCCCCUUUCUCUCCCAAAGGUUCUUUCAAUCUCUGUGAGAAACCACUUUCUCUGUUGUUUUUACUCUCCCUCUUCUCACAUCUUUUUUUCUCCAUUUCACUUCUUCAAGAAGGAAUUCGAGAAAUCACAACCCCUUUCACAUGGCGUAUCUGUGAAUCUGUUACCUAGUACAAUUCUGAGUCUCUUUUCUUUUCCCUUUUCUUUUUCUCUGUUUGGCUGCUAGGAUUCGGAAAAGUGAGGGAGAAAACCUUGAGUUUAUUUUUUUCGAAUUGCCAUUUCCUCAGUUUCGUUUCUUUUUCUUGGAAUGGUUUUAUUAUGGAUUAUUUCAUGAUUUAUCAGUUUCUCUCUUUUUGCAUGAAUGAUUUUGGGGUUUUUGUUGCUUCGUAUUUUUUACAUUGUGCAUCCAAGCUAGCCCAUGCUUAAUUUCUGAUAAAUGCAGAAAAAAGUUAAGAAAAAUGAGAUAUUUUAAGUCUUCCCUUUCAUAAUUGUCCUCUCACUCGAUAGUCUCCAUUUCACUUCUUCAACAAGGGAACCGAGGAAUCACAACUUCUUUCAUAGUAUGGCGUAUCACCAGGUACAUUUCCGAGUCUCUUUUCCCUUUUUUUCUCUUUUCGCUGUUUGGUUGCUAGGGUUGCAGAUCUGGAAAUAAAAACAUAACAUUUGGUUUUAUUAUGGAUUAUUUCAUGAUUUAUCAGAAAAAAAUGGAAGAAAAAUAAGAUCUUUAAAAAGCUUUUCUAGGCUUUUGCCCUCAUAGGAUAAGUCUUUUAGUUACGGCCAUAUGCGGUCCAAAACACCCAAAAGCCUAAGAUUCAAAAUUUACUUGCGUUCUUUAUGCAUCUAGUUCCAAGUUCUAUGUGUGUUGGAUGAUCAUGCAACACAAUUAAACAGAGCGAGUAUAAGCUCUGACUAGAUAUGCUGGGAACAGGUAUAGUGACAUCAAGUUCAAGGGAGAUGCUUGGAGAGGAGAUAUCCAUUGCAAGCCCACUUUCCUAGUGCCAACUAAUAAGACCACCCUUAGCUGCACAAUAAACAGUUUAAAAAUUU
This 1118-nucleotide long non-coding RNA is filed under the name Manihot esculenta (cassava). RNAcentral's name for it is "long non-coding RNA (MESC_LNC008067)". Lineage: Eukaryota; Viridiplantae; Streptophyta; Magnoliopsida; Malpighiales; Euphorbiaceae. The record is from RNAcentral.